Molecule: ribosomal RNA, 460 nt
Filed under: uncultured bacterium
Lineage: Bacteria
Description: partial 16S ribosomal RNA
Rfam family: Bacterial small subunit ribosomal RNA
Source: RNAcentral
CCUACGGGAGGCAGCAGUGAGGAAUAUUGGUCAAUGGACGAGAGUCUGAACCAGCCAAGUAGCGUGCAGGAUGACUGCCCUAUGGGUUGUAAACUUCUUUUAUAUGGGAAUAAAAUGUUCCACGUGUGGGAUUUUGUAUGUACCAUAUGAAUAAGGAUCGGCUAACUCCGUGCCAGCAGCCGCGGUAAUACGGAGGAUCCGAGCGUUAUCCGGAUUUAUUGGGUUUAAAGGGAGCGUAGGUGGAUUGUUAAGUCAGUUGUGAAAGGUCGCGGCUCAACCGUAGAAUUGCAGUUGAAACUGGCAGUCUUGAGUACAGGAGAGGUGGGCGGAAUUCGUGGUGUAGCGGUGAAAUGCUUAGAUAUCACGAAGAACUCCGAUUGCGAAGGCAGCUCACUGGACUGCAACUGACACUGAGGCUCGAAAGUGUGGGUAUCAAACAGGAUUAGAUACCCUUGUAGUC